ACUCAACAGUUAACCUAAAAAGGAGUCCAGCUCGUUUUGGAGAUGUCAUGCCCUUUUGGAAAAGCUCGGCUUUUUACUGAGAGGGAAGACUGAAACUCAGCGGUGGAUUCCGAUCCUGUCUAAUUGGAGUUU
This 132-nucleotide non-coding RNA is filed under the name unclassified sequences. The record is from RNAcentral.